RNAcentral lists this ribosomal RNA (86 nucleotides) under uncultured Acidobacteriota bacterium. Its description in RNAcentral is "uncultured Acidobacteria bacterium partial 16S ribosomal RNA". It matches the Rfam family "Bacterial small subunit ribosomal RNA", at positions 826 to 910 of the family's 1533-position model. Lineage: Bacteria; Pseudomonadati; Acidobacteriota. The record is from RNAcentral.
CAGGUACCCAAUCCUGUCGUGCCGAAGCUAACGCGAUAAGCAAUCCGCCUGGGGAGUACGGUCGCAAGGCUGAAACUCAAAGGAAU